This 386-nucleotide ribosomal RNA is filed under the name uncultured bacterium. RNAcentral's name for it is "bacterial SSU rRNA". It matches the Rfam family "Archaeal small subunit ribosomal RNA", at positions 339 to 727 of the family's 1478-position model. The record is from RNAcentral.
UCGCGAAACCUUUGCAAUACACGAAAGUGUGACAGGGUCAUCCCGAGUGCCGACCGCUGAGGUUGGCUUUUACCCAGUCUAGAAAGCUGGGGGAAUAAGGAGAGGGCAAGUCUGGUGUCAGCCGCCGCGGUAAUACCAGCUCUCCGAGUGGUGUGGACGUUUAUUGGGCCUAAAGCAUCCGUAGCUGGCUGAACAAGUCCCCUGUUAAACCCACCGAUUUAAUCGUUGGUCUGCGGGGGAUACUGCUCGGCUAGGGGACGAGAGAGGCAGACGGUAUUCCCGGGGUAGGGGUGAAAUCCUAUAAUCCCGAGAAGACCACCAGUGGCGAAGGCUGUCUGCUAGAACGCGCCCGACGGUGAGGGAUGAAAGCUGGGGGAGCGAACCGG